AAACGCUGGCGGCGUGCUUAACACAUGCAAGUCGAACGAAGCUCUGAUCUCCGCGUUUUCGGACAAAGAGAGAAGAUGACUUAGUGGCGGACGGGUGAGUAAUGCGUGAGCAACCUGCCCUUCGANAGGGGGGACAACAGCUGGAAACGGCUGCUAAUACCGCAUGAUACAUUUGGGCGGCAUCGCCCGGAUGUCAAAGAUUUAUCGCUGAAAGAUGGCCUCGCGUCUGAUUAGCUGGUUGGUGAGGUAACGGCUCACCAAGGCGACGAUCAGUAGCCGGACUGAGAGGUUGACCGGCCACAUUGGGACUGAGAUACGGCCCAGACUCCUACGGGAGGCAGCAGUGGGGAAUAUUGGGCAAUGGGCGCAAGCCUGACCCAGCAACGCCGCGUGAAGGAAGAAGGCUUUCGGGUUGUAAACUUCUUUUAAGAGGGAAGAGCAGAAGACUGUACCUCUAGAAUAAGCCACGGCUAACUACGUG
This 481-nucleotide ribosomal RNA is filed under the name uncultured bacterium. RNAcentral describes it as "bacterial SSU rRNA". It matches the Rfam family "Bacterial small subunit ribosomal RNA", at positions 32 to 507 of the family's 1533-position model. The record is from RNAcentral.